UGAGAGUCUGACGGAGCACGCCGCGUGAGUGAUGAAGGUUUUCGGAUCGUAAAGCUCUGUUGUUAGGGAAGAACAAGUACCGUUCGAAUAGGGCGGUACCUUGACGGUACCUAACCAGAAAGCCACGGCUAACUACGUGCCAGCAGCCGCGGUAAUACGUAGGUGGCAAGCGUUGUCCGGAAUUAUUGGGCGUAAAGGGCUCGCAGGCGGUUUCUUAAGUCUGAUGUGAAAGCCCCCGGCUCAACCGGGGAGGGUCAUUGGAAACUGGGGAACUUGAGUGCAGAAGAGGAGAGUGGAAUUCCACGUGUAGCGGUGAAAUGCGUAGAGAUGUGGAGGAACACCAGUGGCGAAGGCGACUCUCUGGUCUGUAACUGACGCUGAGGAGCGAAAGCGUGGGGAGCGAACAGGAUUAGAUACC
This 418-nucleotide ribosomal RNA is filed under the name Bacillus subtilis. Its description in RNAcentral is "bacterial SSU rRNA". It matches the Rfam family "Bacterial small subunit ribosomal RNA", at positions 376 to 786 of the family's 1533-position model. The record is from RNAcentral. Lineage: Bacteria; Bacillati; Bacillota; Bacilli; Caryophanales; Bacillaceae.